GGGCGUGUGGUCUAGUGGUAUGAUUCUCGCUUUGGGGAUUUUCAUUCUUUAAAUUUGCGAGAGGCCCUGGGUUCAAUUCCCAGCUCGCCCC
The sequence is a transfer RNA, 91 nucleotides long. It matches the Rfam family "tRNA". Rfam says of the family: Transfer RNA (tRNA) molecules are approximately 80 nucleotides in length. The record is from Rfam.